This 447-nucleotide ribosomal RNA is filed under the name uncultured bacterium. RNAcentral's name for it is "bacterial SSU rRNA". It matches the Rfam family "Bacterial small subunit ribosomal RNA", at positions 329 to 793 of the family's 1533-position model. The record is from RNAcentral.
UGCCAGACUCCUACGGGAGGCAGCAGUGGGGAAUAUUGCACAAUGGGGGAAACCCUGAUGCAGCGACGCCGCGUGAGCGAUGAAGUAUUUCGGUAUGUAAAGCUCUAUCAGCAGGGAAGAAGAUGACGGUACCUGACUAAGAAGCCCCGGCUAACUACGUGCCAGCAGCCGCGGUAAUACGUAGGGGGCAAGCGUUAUCCGGAUUUACUGGGUGUAAAGGGAGCGUAGACGGCGAUGCAAGCCAGAUGUGAAAGCCCGGGGCUCAACCCCGGGACUGCAUUUGGAACUGUGUGGCUGGAGUGUCGGAGAGGCAGGCGGAAUUCCUAGUGUAGCGGUGAAAUGCGUAGAUAUUAGGAGGAACACCAGUGGCGAAGGCGGCCUGCUGGACGAUGACUGACGUUGAGGCUCGAAAGCGUGGUGAGCAAACAGGAUUAGAUACCCCCGUAC